Molecule: long non-coding RNA, 1553 nt
Organism: Acanthochromis polyacanthus (spiny chromis)
Lineage: Eukaryota; Metazoa; Chordata; Actinopteri; Pomacentridae
Exons: 2
Source: RefSeq, a predicted model, not a curated record
AAUGCUUCAAUUGUCUCACCUUGUUUCUGAUUUCGGGUGUGGAAUUCAUGUCUUUCCAUUGUUUUAUUAUGUUGUGGGUUGCCCAUCUCCCGAAAUUUCCGUUUCAGGCACUCAGGGUCUUCUCUGGACUCGGCUGGGACCAGAACGGCUCCAUUGUCUCCUGGCGCCCUAACUUCUGCCGCGUAGACAAAUGAACGCUCCCGCUCGAUGGCUUCUGCUCCUGCGAGAUUGAGGAGGAUAUAUGCCUUUGUCUUGGGAGGCUUGUCGGCGUGAGCAGCUUCGAUGAAGAUAUCAUAAUCCCUCUUAAACACGCGCCAACUCUCGGCGAUGUCUCCUUCAAAAACGAGCGGGUCCGGUCGGCGAAAUCCCUCUGCCAUGGCUCGUUAGCAACCGCUUUAAGUCGAUGUCCAACGCUCGACAAAAAACUUGCUGGAAAAUGCAAAAAAAAAAAACUCACAACAGGCAGGUCUGAAGAUCUUCUGACACCAUGUUGAAAUGAGUAUAUGAAGUUGUUUUGCAGUCAACAGAAGCUUUAUUUGAACUCAGGGCAGCAGCAUUACACUGUGAUCCACUGGGAUAAGGUAAGUAGAGCACUGGUAAGUACGGCAAGUGACUUAGGACACAUCUGAGAUGCAUUCAUCUGAAUGAUCUACAGUAACAAACACACAACUAUGCAGCGAUUUUUGAAAAGAAAAAACUGCAAUUUCAACAGGUCUGUGCGGCCUGAAUCAUAGCCAUGUUAGUAAGGUUUUUAAUAAAUCAAACCGUUUGUAAAUCCGUCAAGAAUUCAGCAAGUUAAGUGUAUUUUUGUUUGUGUAGUCGCUCACCUUCCAUCCACUACUAUAGAGCGCUCCAGAACAGUCCCCCUCGGUAAGAUGGCCGACCGGUGACGACGGCGGUGAAAGUCCCAUCAGCCAUCUAGCCUUUCUAUGUAUUCACCUUAUUUUGCAGCUUCGCCAGGGCGGCGCCACAUUACAGCAUUUUGUCCUGUGAUUUCCACUUCAGACCGGAGGUGCAGUUGUCAACAAAAGGAACGAGCGGUGUAAGCUAACCAGCUAGCGAUUUUAUUUCAUCAAGAUGUCGAGGCUGCCAUAAUAACUGGGCCAAGAGGAGAGAGUUUUUGAAACAAACCUGUUUUGAGCAUCAUGUGGAGAGAUGGGAGUGUUGUGGGGCUCCUUAUAAUCUACAUCCAAAGAUGAGGAGCACAUGCGGCUGUGGCUGAAAGCGCUAAACCUUAAGGGCCCACCGAAGCGCCCUUAUGUAUGUUCGUUUCAUUUUGUGGACAGAGAGCCGACAGAGGAGCACCCUUACCCCGAGAAAUGGCUCGGCUAUGAUGCUCCAGUAAAGAAGCCACGGCGGGCUUUGAAGAGGCUGUCAGAUAGGGAUAUGACACUCAGCAUCAAGGAUGCAGAGGAGAAGGAUGAGCACAUUCCCAUCAGUGGGAGGAUCUGUCUGUCUCUGAACACAGCUAUGCAGCAAGAUCAUCACUCCAUCUGAAGCCCUGACAUCUGACAUCUUUACAGUAUAACUGUAAUAAACCUAAACAUUUCUGA